This 449-nucleotide ribosomal RNA is filed under the name uncultured organism. RNAcentral describes it as "partial 16S ribosomal RNA". It matches the Rfam family "Bacterial small subunit ribosomal RNA", at positions 334 to 799 of the family's 1533-position model. The record is from RNAcentral.
CACUCCUACGGGAGGCAGCAGUGGGGAAUAUUGGACAAUGGGCGCAAGCCUGAUCCAGCCAUGCCGCGUGAGUGAUGAAGGCCCUAGGGUUGUAAAGCUCUUUCACCGGUGAAGAUAAUGACGGUAACCGGAGAAGAAGCCCCGGCUAACUUCGUGCCAGCAGCCGCGGUAAUACGAAGGGGGCUAGCGUUGUUCGGAUUUACUGGGCGUAAAGCGCACGUAGGCGGACUAUUAAGUCAGGGGUGAAAUCCCGGGGCUCAACCCCGGAACUGCCUUUGAUACUGGUAGUCUUGAGUUCGAGAGAGGUGAGUGGAAUUCCGAGUGUAGAGGUGAAAUUCGUAGAUAUUCGGAGGAACACCAGUGGCGAAGGCGGCUCACUGGCUCGAUACUGACGCUGAGGUGCGAAAGCGUGGGGAGCAAACAGGAUUAGAAACCCCGGUAGUCCCAUG